AAAAUAUAAAAUAACUAAAAUCAAAAAAAUCAAGAAAUCAAAAUGAAAGAAAUACUAAUUCUUCCAUCGUCAGUUUCAUCCACCAGAACUAGAAUAAUCGUUGUUGACGCCACUACCGAAACGUCGUCGGCGUUGAUCCAUGCCUAAACGCUGCCGUUAAUUUGCUGGGCAUGCUCAUCCACUCACAAGCAACCAAUAGCAGAUAAAUAUUUACUGUUUCUCUCAGAUUAACAAAGAAGGCAUCGACGGGUCAUAUGUACAAGAACUAUCAGAAAGAUUGAAAACUUUGGGGCAUUUCUUGUCCAUGGAAGAACAAAGCCUCAAUUUCUGUUUGGAUUGCAAGAACAAAUCUGUUUGGACUACAAGAACAAGGCCAUGUAUAGUCGACGACCAUGGACAACGAAAGGCCAUGGAUAGUUGACAGCCUUAAACUUUUUAUUCUUCUUAUUGAUGUGUUUGUUCUUGUACUACAUUAUUUUCCUUCUGUUUACUGUUUUAGCUUGAGUUUCAGUUUCGACCCAUCUAUCUUUCUAUAUAAAGUUUCAGUCUUUAUAGAAUGGAAGAUUGUUAACGAAAGUUGAG
RNAcentral lists this long non-coding RNA (582 nucleotides) under Ricinus communis (castor bean). RNAcentral's name for it is "long non-coding RNA (RCOM_LNC001094)". Lineage: Eukaryota; Viridiplantae; Streptophyta; Magnoliopsida; Malpighiales; Euphorbiaceae. The record is from RNAcentral.